UUUAGUCUGCGAAAGUAGUUUAUUUGAUAAGGGAAUAAAUAAGAAGUAAAGCCUCUGUAGAUACAAGGAAAAACAAUUGCAUUAAGUUCUGCAUAUUUAGAACACAGUGUCACAAGCUACAGACAUGGAAAGUAUCUGAAAAGAACCUGACUUAUCUGGAAUCUAUGCAAACAAUUCUGUCACCCAAUUCUCCAAAGUGUUCAAUGUUUCUAGUGAACAGACUAGCAGAAACCCAACUAUUUCAACAGCAGGAGCAGGUUUUCAGAAAAAUACAAACAAUUCCUAAAUCUUGCAACCUUAGAUCUAAUCUAAAUUAGGGAUGCAAAGUAGGUUGAUUUAUUAGAGCUUUCUGCCAGCUUUUACUGACAUGGAAAAGCCAAACAAACAACAAAUAGGGAUACUCAGAGCACAGUUAGCUGAUUUCUGCCAAGUCCCAUAGAUACCUGCUCCUCACAGGUCGUAAGAGAAAAUAAUAUGAAUUUUGCUCUCUUUAGAAUAACAACAAGAAGUAAAAACCCUUAUAAAGCAGUAUCAGUAUCCGGUUUUGAUAUGCACAUUGUUACGUUAUAGUCCUUCUGUCAUAUCUAAAAUAAUAAUGCUAAAAAUGUGUAUUUAUAGAGCUAUUUUCUUCAGAGACAGAACAAUUACAGUUUAUAUAUGCUUUUAAGCAGAAUGAAAAGAACUACAAUCCACACACUUCUGUCUUUUACAAAUACAGCCUUAAGCCAAUGCAUUCAAGUGUAGCAUGCCUUUUGAGUACACAUGUGUCAAGAUAACCCAAACAGCACUGUGGAAGCAAUACACUACCCAUUGUAAUGCCAUCAAACAUGACAUUUCUUUUAAGCAGACAAAAAACCCUAAUGCACACAAAGUAAAAAACAUUUUUAUCUCACCCAUAAUACGCAUUCACCAUAAAAUAUGUUAGAAUUAGUAUAUAGAACUCAAAGACAGUUGACACCUCCUAGAUGUAGGCUUUCAGGGUAACUCAUACUGCAGUUUACUCUUCCUUCCAACACAGUAAUUGAAACAACAAUGCAUUAAGCACUGAUAUUCCUGAAAAGGCUUAUAAAACAAUUUAGAUAAUUGCAGUAGAGUCAUUCUCUUACAAAAAAAAAAAA
RNAcentral lists this long non-coding RNA (1118 nucleotides) under Strigops habroptila (Kakapo). RNAcentral describes it as "lncRNA (ENSSHBG00005010505.1)". The record is from RNAcentral. Lineage: Eukaryota; Metazoa; Chordata; Aves; Psittaciformes; Psittacidae.